RNAcentral lists this ribosomal RNA (492 nucleotides) under uncultured bacterium. RNAcentral describes it as "partial 16S ribosomal RNA". It matches the Rfam family "Bacterial small subunit ribosomal RNA", at positions 29 to 507 of the family's 1533-position model. The record is from RNAcentral.
AGUGAACGCUGGCGGUAGGCCUAACACAUGCAAGUCGAACGGCAGCACAGUAAGAGCUUGCUCUUACGGGUGGCGAGUGGCGGACGGGUGAGGAAUACAUCGGAAUCUACUUUUUCGUGGGGGAUAACGUAGGGAAACUUACGCUAAUACCGCAUACGACCUACGGGUGAAAGCAGGGGAUCUUCGGACCUUGCGCGAUUGAAUGAGCCGAUGUCGGAUUAGCUAGUUGGCGGGGUAAAGGCCCACCAAGGCGACGAUCCGUAGCUGGUCUGAGAGGAUGAUCAGCCACACGGGACCUGAGACACGGUCCAGACUCCUACGGGAGGCAGCAGUGGGGAAUAUUGGACAAUGGGCGCAAGCCUGAUCCAGCCAUACCGCGUGGGUGAAGAAGGCCUUCGGGUUGUAAAGCCCUUUUGUUGGGAAAGAAAAGCAGCAGGUUAAUACCCCGCUGUUCUGACGGUACCCAAAGAAUAAGCACCGGCUAACUUCGUG